GACGAAGGGGGCUAGCGUUGAUCGGAAUUAAUGGGCGUAAAGCGCAUGUAGGCGGCUUGUUAAGUCAGGGGUGAAAGCCCGAGGCUCAACCUCGGAAUUGCCUUUGAUACUGGCAACCUUGAGUGCGGGAGAGGUGAGUGGAAUUCCCAGUGUAGAGGUGAAAUUCGUAGAUAUUGGGAAGAACACCAGUGGCGAAGGCGGCUCACUGGCCCGCAACUGACGCUGAGAUGCGAAAGCGUGGGGAGCAAACAGG
Molecule: ribosomal RNA, 253 nt
Filed under: uncultured bacterium
Lineage: Bacteria
Description: partial 16S ribosomal RNA
Rfam family: Bacterial small subunit ribosomal RNA
Source: RNAcentral